GACGAACGCUGGCGGCGUGCCUAAUACAUGCAAGUUGAGCGCUGAAGGUUGGUAUUCGUACCAACUGGAUGAGCAGCGAACGGGUGAGUAACGCGUGGGGAAUCUGCCUUUGAGCGGGGGACAACAUUUGGAAACGAAUGCUAAUACCGCAUAAAAACUUUAAACACAAGUUUUAAGUUUGAAAGAUGCAAUUGCAUCACUCAAAGAUGAUCCCGCGUUGUAUUAGCUAGUUGGUGAGGUAAAGGCUCACCAAGGCGAUGAUACAUAGCCGACCUGAGAGGGUGAUCGGCCACAUUGGGACUGAGACACGGCCCAAACUCCUACGGGAGGCAGCAGUAGGGAAUCUUCGGCAAUGGACGAAAGUCUGACCGAGCAACGCCGCGUGAGUGAAGAAGGUUUUCGGAUCGUAAAACUCUGUUGGUAGAGAAGAACGUUGGUGAGAGUGGAAAGCUCAUCAAGUGACGGUAACUACCCAGAAAGGGACGGCUAACUACGUG
RNAcentral lists this ribosomal RNA (497 nucleotides) under uncultured bacterium. Its description in RNAcentral is "partial 16S ribosomal RNA". It matches the Rfam family "Bacterial small subunit ribosomal RNA", at positions 28 to 507 of the family's 1533-position model. The record is from RNAcentral.